AACGAACGCUGGCGGCAUGCCUAACACAUGCAAGUCGAACGAGACCUUCGGGUCUAGUGGCGCACGGGUGCGUAACGCGUGGGAACCUGCCCUUAGGUUCGGAAUAACUCCCCGAAAGGGGUGCUAAUACCGGAUAAUGUCUUCGGACCAAAGAUUUAUCGCCUUUGGAUGGGCCCGCGUUGGAUUAGCUAGUUGGUAGGGUAAAAGCCUACCAAGGCGACGAUCCAUAUCUGGUCUGAGAGGAUGAUCAGCCACACAGGGACUGAGACACGGCCCAGACUCCUACGGGAGGCAGCAGUGGGGAAUAGUGGACAAUGGGCGAAAGCCUGAGCCAGCAAUGCCGCGUGAGCGAUGAAGGCCUUAGGGUUGUAAAGCUCUUUUACCCGGGAUGAUAAUGACAGUACCGGUAGAAUAAGCUCCGGCUAACUCCGUG
RNAcentral lists this ribosomal RNA (433 nucleotides) under uncultured bacterium. RNAcentral describes it as "partial 16S ribosomal RNA". It matches the Rfam family "Bacterial small subunit ribosomal RNA", at positions 29 to 507 of the family's 1533-position model. The record is from RNAcentral.